UGCGUAGGCGAAAGAUUAAGUCAGUGGUGAAAUCCUGCAGCUCAACUGUAGAACUGUCAUUGAUACUGAUCUUCUUGAAUACAGUUGAGGUAGGCGGAAUAUGUAAUGUAGCGGUGAAAUGCUUAGAUAUUACAUAGAACACCGAUUGCGAAGGCAGCUUACUAAACUGUGAUUGACGCUGAGGCACGAAAGCGUGGGGAGCGAACAGGAUUAGAUACCCUGGUAGUCC
Molecule: ribosomal RNA, 229 nt
Filed under: uncultured bacterium
Lineage: Bacteria
Description: partial 16S ribosomal RNA
Rfam family: Bacterial small subunit ribosomal RNA
Source: RNAcentral